CGCGACCUGGGCCACGGGUUCGCCCGCCUCGGCCGGGUCGACCGCGUUGCCGGCCGAGGCCGCGGCCGGCUCGGCAUCGGCGGGCGCGGC
This 90-nucleotide transfer RNA is filed under the name Achromobacter pulmonis. RNAcentral's name for it is "tRNA-Arg". The record is from RNAcentral. Lineage: Bacteria; Pseudomonadati; Pseudomonadota; Betaproteobacteria; Burkholderiales; Alcaligenaceae.